This 73-nucleotide transfer RNA is filed under the name Ixodes scapularis (black-legged tick). It matches the Rfam family "tRNA". From Rfam's summary of the family: Transfer RNA (tRNA) molecules are approximately 80 nucleotides in length. Lineage: Eukaryota; Metazoa; Arthropoda; Arachnida; Ixodida; Ixodidae. The record is from Rfam by way of RNAcentral.
UCCUUGUUAGCUCAGUUGGUAGAGCGCUCCGCUAGUUAUGGAGAAGUCCCUGGUUCGAUACCAGGACCAGGCG